GCCCGGAUGGUCUAGUGGUAUGAUUCUCGCUUUGGGUGAACAAUCCAAUCUGCGAGAGGUCCCGCGUUCAAACCGCGGUUCGGGCC
Molecule: non-coding RNA, 86 nt
Organism: Aspergillus avenaceus
Lineage: Eukaryota; Fungi; Ascomycota; Eurotiomycetes; Eurotiales; Aspergillaceae
Source: the annotation of a GenBank genome assembly